RNAcentral lists this long non-coding RNA (404 nucleotides) under Homo sapiens (human). Its description in RNAcentral is "non-protein coding MIR99AHG:38". The record is from RNAcentral. Lineage: Eukaryota; Metazoa; Chordata; Mammalia; Primates; Hominidae.
ACAGAACCUAUUCUCUGGGGAAGAACUGACAUAGGAGACGUGACUAAGUUGCAGUUGACAAUGGAUCUGAGAACGCUGUCUGGGCUUGGUACCAAGAGCUGGUAUUUCACAGCAGCGACCGCCUCACAGACGAGCUGUGGGAAGCAGGAGGGAGACUCUCUCUUAGGGUGCCACUACUAUGGAGACACAGCUGGGCUGAACAAGAUUUGCUUCAAACGACAACAAGAGAGACAGAAAGUAUCUGGUUCAACCGCUGCCCGAGCAGGCAGGCACCAGAAGAGCUAGCAGCCAAUCCGGCCAUGCUCGAAGCCAGCUCUGCAGCUCAGCCAAUCAGUGACAUCAUUGGUGAGAAACUCAUUUACAUCAUGCAGUAAUGAACUUUGUUUAACAUAGACUUCCCCCUU